RNAcentral lists this ribosomal RNA (406 nucleotides) under uncultured bacterium. RNAcentral describes it as "bacterial SSU rRNA". It matches the Rfam family "Bacterial small subunit ribosomal RNA", at positions 8 to 414 of the family's 1533-position model. The record is from RNAcentral.
AGAGUUUGAUCCUGGCUCAGAUUGAACGCUGGCGGAAUGCUUUACACAUGCAAGUCGAACGGCAGCACGGGAGCUUGCUCCUGGUGGCGAGUGGCGAACGGGUGAGUAAUACAUAGGAACAUACCCAGUAAUGGGGGAUAACGCCGAGAAAUCGGUGCUAAUACCGCAUACGCCCUACGGGGGAAAGCGGGGGAUCUUCGGACCUCGCGUUAUUGGAUUGGCCUAUGUCUGAUUAGCUAGUUGGUGAGGUAAAGGCUCACCAAGGCGACGAUCAGUAGCUGGUCUGAGAGGAUGAUCAGCCACACUGGAACUGAGACACGGUCCAGACUCCUACGGGAGGCAGCAGUGGGGAAUUUUGGACAAUGGGCGAAGACCUGAUCCAGCCAUUCCGCGUGAGUGAAGACGG